ACAGAAGUCCAAUUAUCCACGGACGGAGUAGAGGUGCUGCCACCAUGAUCUCUUCAAACAUUAGAGAAGCAAGAACUGUCAUCCUUCCCAGGCUGAUGUUGGAAAUAACAUCCAAUGGGACUCUUACUGUGGCCUCACAUACUCCAAUUUUUCAGAAAUUAUCUCUCCUGGAUCUACCCAGCCUCACCGCUCAUCUGAAAACCAAGCUAUCAGGAUCAAUGUUUAAAGGCUUUCUUUUUGCCACAUUGUGUGAAACAGAGGAUCAUGUCACGACCUUGGAUAUGCAUCCACACGUUUUUGAGAAAAGGCUGGUUUUAUACAACCCCAGAAAUACCUGUAACAAGGAGCUAUGUGCACUGAUUUCCAUGGUGGAAAACUUAAUGGAUUGUGACCCCAAAUUGCCUUUGUCUAUUUAUAUGAGGGGGAAAAGAUUGUUUCAGAAGAAUCCCGGUAAAGAUUCCUGUUUUCUCUUUAAGGGAUUGUCUACUUUGAUAUCCACCCACUUUGCUGUUUAUCACCCAAAUUUCACAGUCAAUGAUGAAUUACUACUGCCUCCCCUCUUGGCCUACAAGAUGCAUUCAACCAUUGAGGGAAUUGAUGAAGUAUCCAAGGGACUCCUGAAAGCAAUUUACCUGGACUCUUACAGAAUGGACAAUAACAUAGAUGAUUUUCAAAACCCAGCGGGGACAUUCACACUUCUGUGCUUGCCCACCAUUUUUACUAAACACCUCACUGUCCCAAAUGUUCUAAUCCUGAUAAAACGCGCAGGGUUGAUGUAUGAGGCCAUAGACAACAUUAUUUUAUGAUAAAUUUAAUAAAGUUUCAUAAUUUGACAAU
Molecule: non-coding RNA, 837 nt
Filed under: synthetic construct
Source: RNAcentral